UACGGGGGGGGCAAGCGUUGUUCGGAAUUACUGGGCGUAAAGGGCUCGUAGGCGGCCAACUAAGUCAGACGUGAAAUCCCCAGGCUCAACCUGGGAACUGCGUCUGAUACUGGAUGGCUUGAAUUCGGGAGAGGGAUGCAGAAUUCCAGGUGUAGCGGUGAAAUGCGCAGAUAUCGGGAAGAACACCCGUGGCGAAGGCGGUUCUCUGGGACGGUACUGACGCUGAGACGCGAAAGCGUGGGGAGCGAACAGG
This 253-nucleotide ribosomal RNA is filed under the name uncultured bacterium. Its description in RNAcentral is "partial 16S ribosomal RNA". It matches the Rfam family "Bacterial small subunit ribosomal RNA", at positions 524 to 776 of the family's 1533-position model. The record is from RNAcentral.